This 495-nucleotide ribosomal RNA is filed under the name uncultured bacterium. RNAcentral describes it as "partial 16S ribosomal RNA". It matches the Rfam family "Bacterial small subunit ribosomal RNA", at positions 28 to 507 of the family's 1533-position model. The record is from RNAcentral.
GACGAACGCUGGCGGCGUGCCUAAUACAUGCAAGUAGAACGCUGAAGGAGGAGCUUGCUCUUCUGGAUGAGUUGCGAACGGGUGAGUAACGCGUAGGUAACCUGCCUGGUAGCGGGGGAUAACUAUUGGAAACGAUAGCUAAUACCGCAUAAGAGUAGAUGUUGCAUGACAUUUACUUAAAAGGUGCAAUUGCAUCACUACCAGAUGGACCUGCGUUGUAUUAGCUAGUUGGUGGGGUAACGGCUUACCAAGGCGACGAUACAUAGCCGACCUGAGAGGGUGAUCGGCCACACUGGGACGGAGACACGGCCCAGACUCCUACGGGAGGCAGCAGUAGGGAAUCUUCGGCAAUGGACGGAAGUCUGACCGAGCAACGCCGCGUGAGUGAAGAAGGUUUUCGGAUCGUAAAGCUCUGUUGUAAGAGAAGAACGAGUGUGAGAGUGGAAAGUUCACACUGUGACGGUAUCUUACCAGAAAGGUACGGCUAACUACGUG